GAAGCUGCUGACCCCACACUGUCGAGAAAAGCUUCUAGUUAGAGAAUUACCGCCCGUACCGUAAACCGACACAGGUAUGCGGGGAGAGAAUCCUAAGGUGCGCGGGAGAACCCUCGUUAAGGAACUCGGCAAAAUGUACCCGUAACUUCGGGAUAAGGGUAGCCGCUGUUGUGAAGUCUGAACAGACGGAGCAUGAGGCGGUCGCAGAGAAGAGGCCCAAGCGACUGUUUACCACAAACACAGGUGCCUGCUAAAGAGAAAUCUGACGUAUAGGUGCUGACACCUGCCCAGUGCCGGAAGGUUAAGGAAGGAUGUCCGGAGCAAUCCAAAGCAUUCGACCGAAGCCCCGGUGAACGGCGGCCGUAACUAUAACGGUCCUAAGGUAGCGAAAUUCCUUGUCGGGUAAGUUCCGACCCGCACGAAAGGUGUAACGAUUUGGGCACUGUCUCAACGAGGGACCCGGUGAAAUUGAAGUACCUGUGAAGAUGCAGGUUACCCGCGACUGGACAGAAAGACCCCAUGGAGCUUUACUGUAACCUGACAUUGGGUUCUGAUACAUCACGUACAGGAUAGGUGGGAGGCAUGGAAGCGAGGACGCUAGUCUUCGUGGAGCCGCCGUUGGGAUACCACCCUUGAUGUAUCGGAAUUCUAACCGUAGGAGUAACGAAACUCGGGACAGUGUCAGGCGGGCAGUUUGACUGGGGCGGUCGCCUCCCAAAGAGUAACGGAGGCGCCCAAAGGUUCCCUCAGCGCGGCCGGAAAUCGCGCGAAGAGUGUAAAGGCAGAAGGGAGCUUGACUGAGAGCCAAACACGGCAAUCAGGUACGAAAGUAGGGCUUAGUGAUCCGGUGGCAUCCAAGUGGAAGGGCCAUCGCUCAACGGAUAAAAGCUACCCUGGGGAUAACAGGCUAAUCUCUCCCAAGAGUCCAUAUCGACGGGGAGGUUUGGCACCUCGAUGUCGGCUCAUCACAUCCUGGGGCUGAAGUCGGUCCCAAGGGUUGGGCUGUUCGCCCAUUAAAGUGGUACGUGAGCUGGGUUCAGAACGUCGUGAGACAGUUCGGUCCCUAUCCAUCGCGGGCGCAAGAGAUUUGAAGGGGGCUGCUCCUAGUACGAGAGGACCGGAGUGGACGAACCAAUGGUGUACCAAUUAUCUCGCCAGAGGUAUAGUUGGGUAGCUACGUUCGGAAAGGAUAAACGCUGAAAGCAUCUAAGCGUGAAACCAGCCUUAAGAUGAGAUCUCUCAUAGAGCAAUCUAGUAAGACACCUUGGAGAAGACGAGGUUGAUAGGUCGGGAGUGUAAGUACAGUAAUGUAUUCAGCGGACCGAUACUAAUAUGUCGAGGGCUUGACUUG
RNAcentral lists this ribosomal RNA (1351 nucleotides) under human gut metagenome. Its description in RNAcentral is "bacterial LSU rRNA". It matches the Rfam family "Bacterial large subunit ribosomal RNA", at positions 1587 to 2925 of the family's 2925-position model. The record is from RNAcentral.